AGGUGUUCAGGGCUACUUCAUAAUUACAGACAGGUGUAUGAAGAAUUCAAUCGAGUGGUUGGGAAGAACCUUGAACAAGAAUUCUGUCCUUCGUCACUGUCCACAGCUGAUUCAGAUCAGAUUUUGAGCAAUCUUCUGCAACAAACCAAGACCUGUGACCUCGCUGACAUGUGAUGUGUUGCAAUGAGAGGGCUUCCAGUUGUAUGCUUUGCUUCUGAUGAUGGAGACACAUACCAACAUGUGCCAGUUGGAAACUCUUUGAAAACUGAUUUUGAUAAGUGAAUUCAAAUAAACUGUCAUAUCUGCCCCAAUAAAUCAUCCAAAUGUCUAUGAAACCAAACCUAUGUUAUUCAGGAACAAGGAAGGCGGAAGAGCUUAUAUGCAAACAAAUGCCAAACAAAGUUACUGCAUGACGUGAUUUUUUUUUUUUUUAAUUGACCAACCAUAAGAGAAAGCUACUAAAAUGGAUAAUUAUUGUAUAAAAGAUAUAAAGAAGGCC
Molecule: long non-coding RNA, 499 nt
Organism: Cyprinus carpio carpio
Lineage: Eukaryota; Metazoa; Chordata; Actinopteri; Cypriniformes; Cyprinidae
Source: Ensembl